Unclassified non-coding RNA from Callithrix jacchus (white-tufted-ear marmoset), 298 nucleotides. It matches the Rfam family "Metazoan signal recognition particle RNA". Rfam says of the family: The signal recognition particle (SRP) is a universally conserved ribonucleoprotein. It is involved in the co-translational targeting of proteins to membranes. The eukaryotic SRP consists of a 300-nucleotide 7S RNA and six proteins: SRPs 72, 68, 54, 19, 14, and 9. NCBI's taxonomy places the organism in Eukaryota, Metazoa, Chordata, Mammalia, Primates, Cebidae. The record is from Ensembl.
GCUGGGUGCAGUGGUGUGGCCUAUAGUCCCAGCUACUCGGGAGGCUGAGAUGGGCGGAUCUCUGAGCCCAGGAGUUCUGGGCUGUAGUCCACUAUGCCAAUCGGGUGUCUGUACUAAGUCCGGCAUCAAUAUGGUGACCUCCCAGGAGCGGGGGACCACCAGGUUGCCUAAGGAGGGAUGAAUAGGCCCAGGUCAGAAAUGGAGCAGGUCAAAACUCCCAUGCUGAUCAGUAGUGGGAUCAUGCCUGUGAAUAGCCACUGCACUCCAGCCUGGGCAACAUAGGGAGACCCCGUCCCUG